GGCGGGAUUCCCGAGCGGUCAAAGGGGAUGGACUGUAAAUCCAUUGGCUCAGCCUUCGCAGGUUCGAAUCCUGCUCCCGCCA
Molecule: transfer RNA, 82 nt
Filed under: Solirubrobacteraceae bacterium
Lineage: Bacteria; Bacillati; Actinomycetota; Thermoleophilia; Solirubrobacterales; Solirubrobacteraceae
Also listed under: 2 other names
Description: tRNA-Tyr
Rfam family: tRNA
About the family: Transfer RNA (tRNA) molecules are approximately 80 nucleotides in length. Their secondary structure includes four short double-helical elements and three loops (D, anti-codon, and T loops). Further hydrogen bonds mediate the characteristic L-shaped molecular structure. tRNAs have two regions of fundamental functional importance: the anti-codon, which is responsible for specific mRNA codon recognition, and the 3' end, to which the tRNAs corresponding amino acid is attached (by aminoacyl-tRNA synthetases). tRNAs cope with the degeneracy of the genetic code in two manners: having more than one tRNA (with a specific anti-codon) for a particular amino acid; and 'wobble' base-pairing, i.e. permitting non-standard base-pairing at the 3rd anti-codon position.
Source: RNAcentral